RNAcentral lists this ribosomal RNA (439 nucleotides) under uncultured bacterium. Its description in RNAcentral is "partial 16S ribosomal RNA". It matches the Rfam family "Bacterial small subunit ribosomal RNA", at positions 339 to 795 of the family's 1533-position model. The record is from RNAcentral.
CUACGGGAGGCUGCAGUGAGGAAUAUUGCACAAUGGGGGGAACCCUGAUGUAGCAACGCCGCGUGGAGGAUGACGCAUUUCGGUGUGUAAACUCCUUUUAUAUGUCAAGAAAAUGACGGUAGCAUAUGAAUAAGCACCGGCUAACUCCGUGCCAGCAGCCGCGGUAAUACGGAGGGUGCAAGCGUUACUCGGAAUCACUGGGCGUAAAGGACGCGUAGGCGGGUUGGAAAGUCAGGUGUGAAAUCCUACGGCUUAACUGUAGAACUGCACUUGAAACUUCUAAUCUAGAGUAUGGGAGGGGGAGAUGGAAUUAGUGGUGAAGGGGUAAAAUCCGUAGAUAUCACUAGGAAUACCUAAAGCGAAGGCGAUCUCCUGGAACAUUACUGACGCUAAGGCGUGAAAGCGUGGGGAGCAAACAGGAUUAGAUACCCUAGUAGUC